This 477-nucleotide ribosomal RNA is filed under the name uncultured bacterium. RNAcentral's name for it is "partial 16S ribosomal RNA". It matches the Rfam family "Bacterial small subunit ribosomal RNA", at positions 28 to 507 of the family's 1533-position model. The record is from RNAcentral.
GAUGAACGCUGGCGGCGUGCCUAAUACAUGCAAGUCGAGCGAACAGACGCGGAUCUUGCUGCUCUGACGUUAGCGGCGGACGGGUGAGUAACGCGUGUAUACCCUACCUAUCAGACUGGGAUAACUUCGGGACAGCGGAUCAUAUACCGGAGGAGCUUCUGAACCGCGGGGGUCGAUAGAAAAAGACGGUGUUGCGGGCUGUUGUAGAUGGAUCCGCGCUUCAUUGCCGAGUUGGUGAGUUAUCGGUUUACCAAGGCAACGAUGGGUAGCCGACCUGGGAGGGUGACCGGGCACAAUGGGACUAAGAGACGGACCAGUCGCGUACGGGAGGCAGUAGGGGAAAAUAUUGCACAAUAGGGCGAAGCCUGAUGCAGCAACGCCGCGUGCGGGAUGACCGCCUUCGAGUUGUAAACCGCUUUCUACUGAAACGUAGCGUGAGUGACGGUAAUGGGUAAAGAAGCACCGGCUAACUACGUG